UUUCUAUACUUCAAGUCUGAUUCAACACUUGGAUAAGCUCUUUGCAAUUUUCCCACCCAGUAACCACAGUACUUUGCUUUAAUAAGACAUAUUACCCAAAUCCUGUACAUCCCUUAGUCACAGAUCUUCUUUUUCCUCUUUUUUUUCCCCUAUGUUAAAUAAUGAUAGAUAUUUUCAAUUUAUCUAUGGCGAAUGUUAGGAUAUGACAGCUGUAUUUGUUUUUCACGAUGUAAAGUGAAUGAUAAUAGCUCACAAGCUGAUUUAUUUCCUUCUUUUCUAUCCACAAUGAUCUCACUAUGCUAUUUCAGCUUAAAAAUACGGAUAUUGAGACACCAGCUGCUUUAACUCUAGAGAAUAGUUCUUUCCUAUCUACUAACAAUUUUGCUUAAAAGAGGAGAGUCAAAAAAUAAACGAAAUACUUCUCAGAGCCAUUUAAACCAAAUAAACAAACAACAACCCACCAAAAUUGCAUACAUUUGAUAACAUUACAAGAUUUCCUUUGUUAAGGUACAAGAUAGAGAAAUUCACUUGAAGAUAACUAGUUAAGUCAUGAGUUCUCAUAGAGUUGUCAUUGUUAUUAUCAUGUUAUUGACACGAAAAUGGCUCAUUCACAUUUCCAAUUAAAUUUACUGCAUAACUUUUGUGAAGAAAAUGCUAUAAGCUGAACUAAAUAGUUUCAAUGUCUCAUAACAACAUUUUUGUUUAUUUUUGUUCUGCAUUUGGUUUUUGUUUCAGUUUGGGUAUUUUGUUGUUGUUGUUGUUUUGUUGUGUAUGUGUGUUUUAUUUUGUUUUUUUGGUUUUUGCACUAUGUUUUGUUUUAUGGGGUCUUCACUGUAAAGGAGCCUGAAAGAUUGUAUCUCCUUUUGGAAAAUAAUGCAUGCAGGGCCUGAAGGAGUGAUUUAUGCUGUGACAUAAUAUGUUUUUGACACAAAAAGUACUUGUCAAAAUGCUAGAUACAAAAGCAACUAUUCCGAGUGUUUUUAAGGUAGCAAGGAGUACCUGGCUUUCAUCACUCAAUAAUAUAUCUGACAUAAAUAAUGAUUGAAAACUGACAACCUCGAGAUGUGAUUUAGAUGCUUCCAACUCCUGAAAAUGAAAAGGUCUACAGUAGAAUGCUUGUCACAUCACAAAUAAAAAUAACCUUAACCAUCUUAAGUUCAGAGAAAUGGUCUACUAUUAUGGAGAAGGAGUUCCUUCCACUGAUAAUGCACACAGAGAACAGAGCCUACACUCGGGAUAUUAUUCAUUUCUUAUAUUAUCAACUAAAAGGAGGUGAUUGAAAAAUUAGAUGACAAAACAAAGCAAGCACAGCAUUGACUAGAGAAAAAUAUCCCUGAAGUGGAUUCUUGAAAGUGAGGAAAAGAGAAUAACUUCACCAAGCACUUGGGGACAAAGCAAUGUUUUUAUUUAUCUAAAGUCUGCUGCAGUGUUGUAUGUAUUUAUGCAAUGUUGAUUCACAAACUGAAAUUUUGUGCUGAGAUUUCGUGUUUCUUAUUUAUCAGUGAAAUGCACUGAGAACAUCACCAAGGAAGGAUCCAGAAUAAUGGUAAGAAAGAGCCCAGUCUCUUCAUUCUUUAGUCAAACUCAGUGUGCUUCCUUUCUUUUAAGAUGUGUACUUACCUUCGAAAUAGAAAGUCAGAUUUUCUUAUUACUAUGAAUAGUUUUUUCUUUAGAUAUUUUCUGCCUUUUAUCUAAGGCCAUCAUGCGCUGUAACCCAUAUGUGCACCAAUCCUCUAGCAUCUCAAGCCACUUUCUCUUUGAGUGUUCAAGUAAAAUGAUAUGACUCCCCUGCCAUAUGCAUUAGAAAAUCAAGAGCCCUUUCUGCCCCCUUGAGAUCUGGGAAAGAUUGCUUACUAGUCUUGCAAAUACUUCUUACUCUUCGAGUUUACUCUGAAAGCCUGCUUUUGCCUGAUUCUUGAUCCCUAACAGGGUUUUUCCUCCUACAGCUACCACCUUCUCUCUGCAUCAUUUCAUCCCCAAUUGGACACUACAACUGGCUCAUUAUCCAAAGUGCCAUUAUCAAAGGUUAUGUGUACAACAGACUGCUAUUGGAGGUUUAAAGAAAACAUGAAGCAGCUUUGAGUUGAAUGUUGCACAUCACUUCUCAUUUACUUUUUUUAUUCAAGCAACAAAUACUUGUUAAGCACCUACCAUGUACAGUCACUAUUUGAGAUAAAGGAAAUAACAGCAGUGAACAGAACAGAUAAAAUGUCUUGUGCUUAUAGACCUUGCAGUCUAAGUACAAUGGAGAGAAUAAAAAUAAAUAAAUAAGUUAGAGAGUGGUGUUAUCAGGAACAAUGAAGCAGGAAAGGCAAAGACUGUUAGGAGGAGUGUGAUUUCAAAAGUGUGGUGGGGAACAGACUUGGCAUCAUUUAGGAAAAAACGCAAAGCACAAAAGAAAUAAGGGAGGAAGUCAAGGAAAGAGUGUUUGGGAAGAGUGCUUUGAGAUAGGGGAAGGAGAAAAUGAAAAGCCCUGAGAUCAGAGCCUCCCUAGAAUGUUAGAAUUACAGCAGAAGGGAUACGAGCUAAUUUCUGAUAUUUCUCACCUCCUAGACCCUCUUCCAAAGUCCUAUAUUAACUGUAUUUUUUUAGUUUCUGUAUCCUCCGUGUUUUCUUACCUUGAAUCUCUUUGUCUAAGGAGUGAGUACCCCUCCCAAGACAAAUCAAAUCUUAGAACUGCAAACUAUUCUCCCGGAAGUGCAUUUUUCAUAUGCAAACUAAACAAACCAGAGCCCACGUUCAGAAGCAACUCCUCUAACUUUUACACACCAGGAGGCAGAAUUCCUUUGCCCUAAACACCCCAGGACCAGGUACUGAACACCUAGGGACCACCUCUAGCCCAGUCUACUAAACUGUCCAGCCCAAAACCUGCCCUGCUGGUUAACCUGGCUUGCCCAUUCCUUCCUGUGAAAAUUACAGUGAUGACUCGCCCACACUUCCUUAUUUAGGCUGGACAAGUACCUCUCCAAGUGGCCCUCAUGACCUGGCUUAACACACAUCUCCUCUCAUAAACAGUGUGUUCACUAAAGAGGUGACCGAAUCUGGCUAAAUAUAUCCUGUCCUGAUCUUACAGUUCAAGACAUUUUGCAAUGUUUUCAGAAGUAGCCACCUACAGACCAUAAUCGGUUGGUUUUCUUGGAGAUGCCAUGUUCUGCAUUGCCUGGACUCUAAGGAAACCACCUAUCAAAAGCAGCUAAGGAAGAGAUGCAUUGCUCUGAAGAACUUCUUACUGAAUCGGGAUUUACCAAAGCUUCAAAUAUAGGAAAGCUGACUUAAGUUCAAUGCAAAUGGAGUUUGCGCUAAUAUCAACUUAAAUCUUGAUCUACUACUACCCAGUGUUGUUUGGAAGCCACAAAUGAACUGUGGGCGUUUCUGAGCCAUCUCUAAAGCGCAGGUGUGCCCCUCAAGAGAACUCUUGGUAUAAUCUCACGAAUCUGAGACUGCUUUGUUGCCUUGACAAAUGUCCUGCUCAAAGACAAUUCUGUGAUACUGCAGAAUUUAUUGCUCAGACAGCCCUAGGUUCAAACGCAAAGCCCACGAGAUAGAGAUACCCGUGUGCCCAAGUAGCCUUGUGGUGCCAGCUGCCUGAAAGAGAAAGAAUUACUGCUCAAGUGAUAAGUCCCCAAUCAGGUCAACUGCCCCACAGCCCCUGCUUCCUGUCUACCUUGAAGAACCCCUCCUCACCACAAAUUCCUUCAUCGUGCUCCACUAUAAAUAAAGCAUUCUCGGGGUUUUUCUCCUUUGUUAGGAUCAGACUCAUCAGAUCUUUUCCACCCAAGCCCCUGCUUUCAAUAUAUUUCCAUGUCUUUUGCUUUAUUUCUUGAUAUUACUUUUUCAGUCUUAUUUCCAGAAGGU
Molecule: long non-coding RNA, 3855 nt
Organism: Sciurus carolinensis (gray squirrel)
Lineage: Eukaryota; Metazoa; Chordata; Mammalia; Rodentia; Sciuridae
Exons: 3
Source: RefSeq, a predicted model, not a curated record